Molecule: ribosomal RNA, 473 nt
Filed under: Bacillus velezensis
Lineage: Bacteria; Bacillati; Bacillota; Bacilli; Caryophanales; Bacillaceae
Description: bacterial SSU rRNA
Rfam family: Bacterial small subunit ribosomal RNA
Source: RNAcentral
GCAGUCGAGCGGACAGAUGGGAGCUUGCUCCCUGAUGUUAGCGGCGGACGGGUGAGUAACACGUGGGUAACCUGCCUGUAAGACUGGGAUAACUCCGGGAAACCGGGGCUAAUACCGGAUGGUUGUUUGAACCGCAUGGUUCAGACAUAAAAGGUGGCUUCGGCUACCACUUACAGAUGGACCCGCGGCGCAUUAGCUAGUUGGUGAGGUAACGGCUCACCAAGGCAACGAUGCGUAGCCGACCUGAGAGGGUGAUCGGCCACACUGGGACUGAGACACGGCCCAGACUCCUACGGGAGGCAGCAGUAGGGAAUCUUCCGCAAUGGACGAAAGUCUGACGGAGCAACGCCGCGUGAGUGAUGAAGGUUUUCGGAUCGUAAAGCUCUGUUGUUAGGGAAGAACAAGUGCCGUUCAAAUAGGGCGGCACCUUGACGGUACCUAACCAGAAAGCCACGGCUAACUACGUGCCAGCA